UUUGUAUAUAAAAAAAAAAAUUGCACAAAACCGCCUUGCAUGCCAUUUUUUCACCAAGCAGUGACAAGUGCAGUUUGCACUUUUUUUAGUUCUCAGACUCAACUCCCCACUCCUGUUAUUUCCCACUUCUCUCAAGCCUAUACGCUCAUCAGCGCACACCACUCGGGCCAUCUCCUUCAUUCAUCCUCACAGAACUUGUGCAUUAUUAAUUGUGAAGAUGUUGUGAGUCCUGUGAUGGCAGUGGUGCUGAGUUUUGGCAGGCACGAUACUUUUUUGACGUUAAAUGGUUUCUAGUUCAUCCUGGACAACUCAAGGAGGAGCGCAACAGACUCCUCCCUUUUUGGCUCCAAUUCAGCAACAUCAUCUACUUUCAGGGAGUCCCUCCUAAUUCUUGUUUUGAUUAUAUAGUUACAUUGAGGACAAUGCAACAUUUUAAGUUCGGGAGGCUUUGUUUUGAAAGAUAUUUUUGUGAUGGGGUGUGAUAUGUCAUGAUGGAUGAUAAUUUGGUAGAUUGAUUUUAUUUUGGUAUUUUUUAUGACA
This is a long non-coding RNA of Lycium barbarum (goji berry), 540 nucleotides long. RefSeq lists it as uncharacterized. NCBI's taxonomy places the organism in Eukaryota, Viridiplantae, Streptophyta, Magnoliopsida, Solanales, Solanaceae. The record is from RefSeq and is a predicted model, not a curated record. The transcript is spliced from 2 exons.